GACGAACGCUGGCGGCGUGCCUAAUACAUGCAAGUAGAACGCUGAAGCUUGGUGCUUGCACCGAGCGGCUGAGUUGCGAACGGGUGAGUAACGCGUAGGUAACCUGCCUGGUAGCGGGGGAUAACUAUUGGAAACGAUAGCUAAUACCGCAUAAGAGUAGAUGUUGCAUGACAUUUGCUUAAAAGGUGCAAUUGCAUCACUACCAGAUGGACCUGCGUUGUAUUAGCUAGUUGGUGAGGUAACGGCUCACCAAGGCAACGAUACAUAGCCGACCUGAGAGGGUGAUCGGCCACACUGGGACUGAGACACGGCCCAGACUCCUACGGGAGGCAGCAGUAGGGAAUCUUCGGCAAUGGACGGAAGUCUGACCGAGCAACGCCGCGGGAGUGAAGAAGGUUUUCGGAUCGUAAGGCUCUGUUGUAAGAGAAGAACGAGUGUGAGAGUGGAAAGUUCACACUGUGACGGUAUCUUACCAGAAAGGGACGGCUAACUACGUG
Molecule: ribosomal RNA, 497 nt
Filed under: uncultured bacterium
Lineage: Bacteria
Description: partial 16S ribosomal RNA
Rfam family: Bacterial small subunit ribosomal RNA
Source: RNAcentral